GGUAACAGGUUAAGCUGACGAGUGGCGAACGGGUGAGUAAUAUAUCGGAACGUGCCCAGUUGUGGGGGAUAACUACUCGAAAGAGUGGCUAAUACCGCAUACGACCUGAGGGUGAAAGCGGGGGAUCGCAAGACCUCGCGCAAUUGGAGCGGCCGAUAUCAGAUUAGCUAGUUGGUGGGGUAAGAGCCCACCAAGGCGACGAUCUGUAGCUGGUCUGAGAGGACGACCAGCCACACUGGGACUGAGACACGGCCCAGACUCCUACGGGAGGCAGCAGUGGGGAAUUUUGGACAAUGGACGCAAGUCUGAUCCAGCCAUGCCGCGUGUGGGAAGAAGGCCUUCGGGUUGUAAACCACUUUUGUCAGGGAAGAAACGGCUCGGGUUAAUACCUUGGGCUAAUGACGGUACCUGAAGAAUAAGCACCGGCUAACUACGUGCCAGCAGCCGCGGUAAUACGUAGGGUGCAAGCGUUAAUCGGAAUUACUGGGCGUAAAGCGUGCGCAGGCGGUUAUGCAAGACAGAUGUGAAAUCCCCGGGCUCAACCUGGGAACUGCAUUUGUGACUGCAUAGCUAGAGUACGGUAGAGGGGGAUGGAAUUCCGCGUGUAGCAGUGAAAUGCGUAGAUAUGCGGAGGAACACCGAUGGCGAAGGCAAUCCCCUGGACCUGUACUGACGCUCAUGCACGAAAGCGUGGGGAGCAAACAGGAUUAGA
Molecule: ribosomal RNA, 712 nt
Filed under: uncultured beta proteobacterium
Lineage: Bacteria; Pseudomonadati; Pseudomonadota; Betaproteobacteria
Description: bacterial SSU rRNA
Rfam family: Bacterial small subunit ribosomal RNA
Source: RNAcentral